UCUAAUUAAAUUAUAUUUAUUAAAUCUUUUUUACUCAAUCAAAUUAAGCUAAUCAAUAAUCUAAUUACUAAUUAAUCUUUCAUUAAUUUACUAACACUUGGUGAAUAAAUUUAUUGCAACUUUUGCAUAAGAUUAACCAUCAAUCAAAUUGACGAUUAAACCCUUAAACGAUUCUCAAUCGUUGAUUAAUUAUAUGAUUAGUCAAAAACUUCUUUUGAGUAUGACCUCGUAGAUUUAAACCUAAGUUGGUAGCACAGAAAUAAAUUUUUAAACCAAUCGAUGUAACCAUCUAGCAAUAGUGACCCGACAUCCGGAUAGGUCGAAUGAAGGUGAAGCAACAUUCAAGAACCUAUACUGACAUAUGGUUACUAUAUAAUUCAUCCCUUUAACCCUAAUACUCAAGGAGACUUAGGAUUUAACUAUCAAUUCUAGGUAAGUCAUCUACAUUAUAUUUCAAUCUUUCAAGUCCAUUACAUGAAUUAUCCGGAUCCAAGUUUUGCUAAAUUGAAAUACAUUGAUACAUUAACUCCUACUAAUUUGAAGGGGUCAAUCCUAUCUUGACUUACGCACCGACUUGACAAGUACUUGACUAUAUCCAA
Molecule: long non-coding RNA, 599 nt
Filed under: Elaeis guineensis (African oil palm)
Lineage: Eukaryota; Viridiplantae; Streptophyta; Magnoliopsida; Arecales; Arecaceae
Description: long non-coding RNA (EGUI_LNC056685)
Source: RNAcentral